This 407-nucleotide ribosomal RNA is filed under the name uncultured eukaryote. Its description in RNAcentral is "partial 18S ribosomal RNA". It matches the Rfam family "Eukaryotic small subunit ribosomal RNA", at positions 592 to 976 of the family's 1831-position model. The record is from RNAcentral.
CAGUAGCGUAUAUUAAAGUUGUUGCAGUUAAAAAGCUCGUAGUUGGAUGUUGGGUGGUAUGCUUUGGGUUCUGGACGACAUUUUUGGUUGUCUGGGAUUUGAUUGAGCAUUUGUCACCAACCUGGUCUUAUGUGAUAUUACAUCACACAAGACCACCUUUACUUUGAAAAAAUUGGAGUGAUUCAAGCAGGCUGAAUUAAACAAGUGCGUUUAACUUUUGCUUCUGCACAUGUUAGCAUGGAAUAAUGCAAGAGGACUUGGGUUUUCUCUUUCAUUGGUUUCAGGAAUCCGAGUAAUGAUUGAUAGGGACAGUUGGGGGUGCUCGUACUCGGCGGCCAGAGGUGAAAUUCUUGGAUUCGCUGAAGACGAACAACUGCGAAAGCAUUCACCAAGGAUGUCUUCUUUAA